UGGAUGAAUAUCGAAAUAUUUUAUUGUCGAAAAAAAAAUGUGGCGAAUAUUAGAUUUGAGAAAUAUAAAUAUUUCAUUGUAAUUCUCACUUCAAGAAUUCAUAUAUUUACGAAAUUUUAAACUUUUUGCAGAAAGUUAUGCAAGCCAAUUUUGCUAAAUAAUUUUUACAUAAAUUUUAAAAUUGUUACAAUUUUUAUUUGAGAUUACCGACCAAAACACUAGUCCAGUUUAUUUUUAAUCAACAUAUUAUACAUUCGUGUUCUUAUUAUGUUUUCCAAUGAUGUCAGAGACACAACAGCACAAAGGCAAAAAAUAAGCAAAAGAAAUAAAGAAAAAUAAUUAGAGAAAAGAAUAUGAAAUUAUAUAUAUUUCCUUAGUACAAUCAUCAAAUGAAUGAUAUUUCUUUUUUUUCUUUUAUCUAAGAUAAAUCACUUCUUUUCUUUAUCAAGUAUAUCUAUUUCACAUUUUAUACGUUUCUUCUUAUGAAAAUUCUCAAUUGUAUCUACUAUUCCACAGUCGUUACAGCAAAUUAGAGACUAGAAUUAAUUCAUAAUUAUCGAGAACAAUCGUAAUUUAUCAUAGAAUUAAAUUUUCGUGUCAAUUCAAGGAUGAACAAUUCUCAAAUUUUCAUUCUUAUUUCUUAAAAUUAAUUUUUGACAGCUCGCCUCAUCUCUCGACUCGCAGAUAAAUUAACAAACAUAAAUUUCUUUUUUUUCUUUAAUGGCCGACGUGAAAGAUGAAAGGCUUUCCGCGUAACCUUCCAUCUCGAGCACACCCUUCGCGGUAGUUUCACCCUCUUUUCGUACCGCCCCUUCUAUUCCCAAUGUGAGCGUUUCAUCAAGGGUUAUAUCGAACAGCAGAGGGUGUAACCAUGGAUACGCGAGCAGCCAUGUUGGUCCAGAGGCGUGAAAGGCACACGGGAUGGAAAAUUCGAUAAUUUCCACCCCGAAAUGGCGAAGUCUCCUCGGUGAAAGAAUUUUUAAACAAUUUCCACUCCAAAAUUUUUCUCCGCGCCUUCAAAUAUUUUUAAAAUAUUUAUUACUCGUAAAAGGAAUAAAGAAGUAGUUUAAAAGAAGAAAGAAAAAUAUUAAGUAUGACGCAUAUAUCGUUUUAUCCGUAUCAAAGAGAAACGAAAGAUUAUUUAUUUAAAUUAAAUUUAUGUUUGUAUUGUUAGAAAAUAAUCUUUCACUUAUUUCCCUCGAAUUUAUAUUUAUAAUAACUCGAUCUCAACACUUUGAACACGCACUUUGAUAUCCAUUGUAAAAAUACGAAUAUUUACGGGGAUAAGCGUGGAUAAAAAUGUUGACACAACACGGCGUCCAACUGAAUCACGGAAUCGAAGCAAACUGGUAGCGGAGAGAAUCGAGAACGAAAACGAAGCCUGAAGAAAGAGAGAGAAAGAAAAAGGUUAAAAAAGGUAAUAAAACGAAGGCGAAACCGUGGCUAAAAGUUUUUAGAUAUAACGCAAAGAAGUGGUAGUAGAGGUUAGGUAGAAGAGGUUAGAGUAUCAAGACGUGUUUCGAAUUCCUUCGAAACGAAAGGAUUUCAGAUGAAUGGGUCCGAGAGUUAUGCCUUUAUUGCACCCAUGUAUGUAUUAUUUUCAAAAAAUUGUCGAACGAAAGAUGCAGCUGUCCUGAAAGGAGUCCUGAAAAAAAAAAA
RNAcentral lists this long non-coding RNA (1659 nucleotides) under Apis mellifera (honey bee). Its description in RNAcentral is "uncharacterized LOC107965701". The record is from RNAcentral. Lineage: Eukaryota; Metazoa; Arthropoda; Insecta; Hymenoptera; Apidae.